This 73-nucleotide transfer RNA is filed under the name Chloroflexi bacterium 13_1_20CM_4_66_15. RNAcentral's name for it is "tRNA-Val". It matches the Rfam family "tRNA". From Rfam's summary of the family: Transfer RNA (tRNA) molecules are approximately 80 nucleotides in length. The record is from RNAcentral. RNAcentral also lists the same sequence under 3 other names. Lineage: Bacteria; Bacillati; Chloroflexota.
GGGCGGUUAGCUCAGCUGGUAGAGCGUCUGCCUUACACGCAGAAUGUCGGGAGUUCGAGCCUCUCACCGCCCA